GGAGGAUCCAAGCGUUAUCCGGAAUCAUUGGGUUUAAAGGGUCCGUAGGCGGUCUUGUAAGUCAGUGGUGAAAGCCCAUCGCUCAACGGUGGAACGGCCAUUGAUACUGCUGGACUUGAAUUAUUAGGAAGUAACUAGAAUAUGUAGUGUAGCGGUGAAAUGCUUAGAGAUUACAUGGAAUACCAAUUGCGAAGGCAGGUUACUACUAAUGGAUUGACGCUGAUGGACGAAAGCGUGGGUAGCGAACAGGAUUAGAUACCCUGGUAGUCCACGCCGUAAACGAUGGAUACUAGCUGUUGGAAGCAAUUUCAGUGGCUAARMRAAAGUGAUAAGUAUCCCACCUGGGGAGUACGUUC
Molecule: ribosomal RNA, 356 nt
Filed under: uncultured bacterium
Lineage: Bacteria
Description: bacterial SSU rRNA
Rfam family: Bacterial small subunit ribosomal RNA
Source: RNAcentral